Molecule: ribosomal RNA, 719 nt
Filed under: uncultured bacterium
Lineage: Bacteria
Description: bacterial SSU rRNA
Rfam family: Bacterial small subunit ribosomal RNA
Source: RNAcentral
GCGGCGUGCCUAACACAUGCAAGUCGAGCGGAGAAUGCAGAAAUGUUUACAUGGAUGUAUUCUUAGCGGCGGACGGGUGAGUAACACGUGGGUAACCUGCCUCAAAGAGGGGGAUAGCCUUCCGAAAGGAAGAUUAAUACCGCAUAAGCUUACAGCAUCGCAUGAUGCCGUAAGAAAAGGAGCAAUCCGCUUUGAGAUGGACCCGCGGCGCAUUAGCUAGUUGGUGAGGUAACGGCUCACCAAGGCCACGAUGCGUAGCCGACCUGAGAGGGUGAUCGGCCACAUUGGAACUGAGACACGGUCCAGACUCCUACGGGAGGCAGCAGUGGGGAAUAUUGCACAAUGGGCGAAAGCCUGAUGCAGCAACGCCGCGUGAGUGAUGAAGGCUUUCGAGUCGUAAAGCUCUUUGAUCAGGGAUGAUAAUGACAGUACCUGAAAAACAAGCCACGGCUAACUACGUGCCAGCAGCCGCGGUAAUACGUAGGUGGCGAGCGUUGUCCGGAAUUACUGGGCGUAAAGGAUGCGUAGGUGGAUACUUAAGUGGGAUGUGAAAUCCCCGGGCUCAACCCGGGAACUGCAUUCCAAACUGGGUAUCUAGAGUGCAGGAGAGGAAAGCGGAAUUCCUAGUGUAGCGGUGAAAUGCGUAGAUAUUAGGAGGAACACCAGUGGCGAAGGCGGCUUUCUGGACUGUAACUGACACUGAGGCAUAAAGCGUGGUA